GCGGCAGACGGGUGAGUAAUACGUAGGCAAUCUACCCUUGAAUGGAAGAUAACUCGGCGAAAGUCGAGCUAAUAUUCCAUAUAAUCCCGGAGGGGCAUCUCCCUGGGAUGAAAGCAGCAAUGCGUUCAAGGAGGAGCCUGCGUCCUAUCAGCUAGUUGGCGGGGUAAUGGCCCACCAAGGCUUUGACGGGUAGCCGAUCUAAAAGGAUGACCGGCCACAAGGGCACUGAGACACGGGCCCUACUCC
RNAcentral lists this ribosomal RNA (246 nucleotides) under uncultured bacterium. Its description in RNAcentral is "partial 16S ribosomal RNA". It matches the Rfam family "Bacterial small subunit ribosomal RNA", at positions 95 to 339 of the family's 1533-position model. The record is from RNAcentral.